AUGGUUAGAAUUGUAUGUGUAAAUGCAGUGAUUUUCUGUAAGGUGAUACCUGGAGAGAGUGUUGUACCCCAGCAUAAGCUGGUGGUUGCUGACUUUCGCUUUCGGAUUCGUGUCCAGCGGGAUAAGCGUGCCAAAGUCGCUAGAACGAAGUGGUGGAAGCUCAAGGGGGAGGUAGCUCAGGUGUUCAAGGAGAGGGUCAUUAAGGAGGGCCCUUGGGAGGAAGGAGGGGAUGCGGACAAUGUGUGGAUGAAGAUGGCGACUUGCAUUCGUAAGGUGGCCUCGGAGGAGUUUGGAGUGUCCAGGGGAAGGAGAAGCGAAGAUAAGGAUACCUGGUGGUGGAAUGAUGAUGUCCAGAAGGCGAUUAAAGAGAAGAAAGAUUGCUUCAGACGCCUAUACCUGGAUAGGAGUGCAGACAACAUAGAGAAGUACAAGAUGGCGAAGAAGGCCGCAAAGCGAGCUGUUGGUGAAGCAAGGGGUCGGGCAUAUGAGGACCUCUACCAACGGUUAGGCACGAAGGAAGGUGAAAGGGACAUCUAUAAGAUGGCCAAGAUCCGAGAGAGGAAGACGAGGGAUAUUGGCCAAGUCAAAUGCAUCAAGGACAGAGCAGACCAACUCUUGGUGAAGGACGAGGAGAUUAAGCAUAGAUGGCGGGAGUACUUCGACAAGUUGUUCAAUGGGGAGAAUGAGAGUUCUACCAUUGAACUGGAUGACUCCUUUGAUGAGACCAGCAUGCGUUUUGUGCGGCAAAUCCAGGAGUCUGAGGUGAAGGAGGCUUUAAAAAGGAUGAAAGGAGGCAAGGCGAUGGGCCCUGAUUGUAUCCCCAUUGAGGUGUGGAAAGGUUUCGGGGACAUAGCGAUAGUAUGGCUAACCAAGCUUUUGAACCUCAUUUUUCGGGCAAACAAGAUGCCAGAAGAGUGGAGACGGAGUAUAUUAGUACCAAACUUCAAGAACAACGGGGAUGUUCAGAGUUGUACUAAUUACCGUGGAAUUAAGCUGAUGAGCCAUACAAUGAAGCUAUGGGAGAGAGUCAUUGAGCACCGCUUAAGAAGAAUGACAUGCGUGACCAAAAAUCAGUUUGGUUUCAUGCCUGGGAGGUCGACCAUGGAAGCCAUUUUCUUGGUACGACAACUUAUGGAGAGAUAUAGGGAGCAAAAGGACUUGCAUAUGGUGUUCAUUGACUUGGAGAAGGCCUAUGAUAAGAUAUCGCGGAAUGUCAUGUGGUGGGCCUUGGAGAAACACAAAGUCCUAGCAAAGUACAUUACCCUCAUCAAGGACAUGUAUGAUAAUGUUGUGACAAGUGUUCGAACAAGUGAUGUCGACACCGAUGACUUCCCGAUUAAGAUAGGACUGCAUCAGGGGUCAGCUUUGAGCCCUUAUCUUUUUGCAUUGGUGAUGGAUGAGGUCACAAGGGAUAUACAAGGAGAUAUCCCAUGGUGUAUGCUCUUUGCGGAUGAUGUGGUGCUAGUUGACGAUAGUCGGACGGGGGUAAAUAGGAAGUUAGAGUUAUGGAGACAAACCUUGGAAUCGAAAGGGUUUAGGCUUAGUAGAACUAAAACCGAGUACAUGAUGUGCGGUUUCAGUACUACUAGGUGUGAGGAGGAGGAGGUUAGCCUUGAUGGCCAGGUGGUACCUGGAAGGACACCUUUGGUAUUUGGGGUCAAUGCUGCAGGAGGAUGGGGGUAUUGA
RNAcentral lists this ribosomal RNA (1686 nucleotides) under Triticum aestivum (bread wheat). RNAcentral describes it as "partial small subunit ribosomal RNA". The record is from RNAcentral. Lineage: Eukaryota; Viridiplantae; Streptophyta; Magnoliopsida; Poales; Poaceae.